AUGUCAUGAUAAGGACAUUUUCGUAACAACUCCUUGAAUCCUCUCAUGCAUCAUAUAUGGAUUCUUUGUCAAACUGCUAAAAUGUAAUGUUUUCAUUUAUGAGCUU
Molecule: non-coding RNA, 106 nt
Organism: Gossypium arboreum
Lineage: Eukaryota; Viridiplantae; Streptophyta; Magnoliopsida; Malvales; Malvaceae
Source: Rfam